GUGUAUAGAGGUGGUGUGUAUAGAGGUGGUGUGUAUAGAGGUGGUGUAUAUAGAGGUGGUGUAUAUAGAGGUGGUGUAUAUAGAGGUGGUGUGUAUAGAGGUGGUGUGUAUAUAGAGGUGGUGUGUAUAUAGAGGUGGUGUGUAUAUAGAGGUGGUGUGUAUAUAGAGGUGGUGUGUAUAGAGGUGGUGUGUAUAGAGGUGAUGUGUAUAGAGGUGGUGUAUAUAGAGGUGGUGUAUAUAGAGGUGGUGUAUAUAGAGGUGGUGUAUAUAGAGGUGGUGUGUAUAGAGGUGGUGUAUAUAGAGGUGGUGUGUAUAGAGG
This 319-nucleotide long non-coding RNA is filed under the name Salmo salar (Atlantic salmon). RNAcentral's name for it is "lncRNA (ENSSSAG00000083478.1)". The record is from RNAcentral. Lineage: Eukaryota; Metazoa; Chordata; Actinopteri; Salmoniformes; Salmonidae.